This is a long non-coding RNA of Ornithorhynchus anatinus (platypus), 2989 nucleotides long. RefSeq lists it as uncharacterized. The transcript has 3 exons. The record is from RefSeq and is a predicted model, not a curated record. NCBI's taxonomy places the organism in Eukaryota, Metazoa, Chordata, Mammalia, Monotremata, Ornithorhynchidae.
GGGCCAUAGAAUGUUGAAUCCUUUGGAUAGACUGAACCUGGAAGAUACCCAAGUGGAAAGUUUGAGGUGGAGUUCUUCCUCAAAGACUAAGUCCUCUGGACAAGUCAUUUUCAGAAUGGACAGUGAGGAAUGGAAAGAUUUAAACGUGGUUGUGAAGAGGACAUUUGUUGGCAGCGCAACUGAUUGUACAUGAGGGGAAAGACAGAGUGGCCCAGUUUUACUUUAAGACUUUCCCUAGGCUGGAGCUGAUCCCCAGAAAAAGAUGCAAUUUCAAACAUCACUGACUCAGAACUACUACUUGUUUCACAAAGACCUGACAGACACCUGCAGGAUAUGCUGACACCUGGAUGACAUCACAAGAGGCUUAAGCAGUAUUGGCUCAGGAAUUAAUCUAGAAAGGAACUAGAGAAAGGGUUCAAAUACAGGCAGACAAGAUGCUCUUUUCACCCUAAAGAGUUAAAGUGGGGGUGAUGGCAAGGCCUGGCUCAAACUCAGGUGAACCCUAAAAGGGGAUCAAAUCCAAAGAGACCUCACUCAUUUGUUAUUAAAUAUCUUGACCCUAGCAGGGCUGUGACUAAUUCCCCAUGGCCCUAAAGCUAUAGGAUUUAAUGGAUGUGGGUCUGUGUAUAUGGUACCUGCAUGUAGGUGAGGAGAGAGAUGCAGAAAGAGUGCUAAUUCAAGAUGGAGUCUCCAACAUGCUUAAAUGAUACCUUUGUCCCUCAAGUGAUUCUGUGGCCUUAAACUCCCUAGGGAUUCUGCGAAGUAUACAUCUUAACCAAGAGACUAACCUUGGCAAACAGGAAGAAAUUAUAAAAAGUACUUGGAUUCCCAACAGAAUUGGUUUCUGGAAAUUGCAUAAGUCAAAAUUAUCUUGGAACCAAUUUUCUCAUAGAAGCAAUGUUAUAAAUGGGGAAGUGGAUCAUCAACUAAGGAUCAUCAUCCUACUUUGACCAAAAAUAAUCUGGAAUUAUGUACUCUAUCAGGUAAGUAAUCUAGAACUAUAGAGAUGCCUAAUAGUUUAAUUACUGAGUCAGAAUUUCCAUCUUGGGGUAGCCCACUUUUUUUACUUCAGAAGUAAAAUGGAUAUUGUUGGGUCUCCCCCUGGCCGUCAGUAACCUCAUACCCUGGUGCAAGGGGCAGCUGGAGGGUGUCUGAGAUCCACCACAGCAGCCAACAUCCAGACAAACUUAUCAGGAGUUCCUGUCUCUUUCCACUCACCUCCUUGUCUCCAGCUGCCAACUCCAGGAGGUAUGGCUUUGCCAUGUGCCUGACUGUGGUAGAUGGUGUGAAAUAGACCUAAUUCCCCUGCCUGCAGUGGCUGGGCUCAACUCAGAAGCUGAUGACCAUAGCAUCAUCAUCAGGAGUAAAGCUGAGCCCCCAGUUGGUUUGGGGAUGGCUCUGCCCCCCGGGUCACUUCCCCUGAUGCCCAAGAUCCUGUAUUAUGGACAAAGCUUUCCUCUGGCUUAGGACUGCUUGCAGUGACAGAGAGAAGAAUGAAUAAGACUCACCUCUUCUUCCGGCACAGACUCCCUGCUGCAUUGGACAGCCAUCUUGGGUUUGUAUGGAGAAAAUUGCUUGCUCUUUUGAGGCAGAUGGAAGAACUUUGAUGGAAAAGAAAAAAAGCUCUUCAAUAUAAGCAGGAGUUAACUUAAUCCUUGUCUCUGACACAAAUCUUUUCACCAGCCCUGUGGUAAGGAGAGUGGACACCACCAGCCAGGAGCUGAGGCUGUUGAGACCACACCUGAUGACUCAGCCUAGAGGGAAUGGAAUGGGGAUGUGAGCUCUGGUCUUGGAUGCCCUUGGGUAUUGGGAUCAGGCUUGGGAGCUGAUUCUGAACCUUUUUUUUUAAUUUGAUAUUUGUUAAUCUCCUUACUAUGUGUCGAGCACUGUUCUGAAUGCUGGGGUAGAUAUAAAUCCAUCAGGUAGUUCAAAGUCCCCUGUCCCACAUGGAGCUCUGUUUGAGAUGACAUUCAGAACCUGAGGAGUUGGAUGGGGGCUGGGCCAUACUCUCAUGCCAAACAGGAACUCCUCGUUCCUUCUUUCAUCCUGAUUAGUUUUCCACUGACGUGGGUCUUUGAAUGUAUUCUCCUGUGGCUGUUCAUUUUUACCAAAGGUGCAGAUGGACCAAGGUGAUCUCAUUCUUUGCAAUUGCCCCCAGGAAGAUUAUUUCCCCUAUUUUACAGGUGGAGAAAACUAAAGUACAAAACGGGAAGGUGAGGUCGGGGCAGGGAGCAGAACGGACAUCCUUACCCUGGAUUUUUUUCACAUGUAUACUGAUAUCAUUUAGUCAGUUAACAUCAGUGUCUCCAACAGGAUUUACCAGGCCCUUUCUGUGGCAAAGUAUGAGGUAUAGAGGAAUAUUUGGGAAAAGUUAAAGGAACAAUACCUGCUCUCAAGCUGAUUGUCAACUCUCAUUUGGAACAACGACUGCAGGCAGAGCCCUGGGAUAUUAUUUAUUACUAUUUAUGAACAGAAGAAAAUAGUUUCUCUGCCCUGAAGCAACAAAUGGGGAGAGAGAAAGGACCCAAGCACACAAACUCAUAUAUAAAAUGCAAAUGUUAGAAACACCCUACAUCAGUAAUGCUAUUACUAGGUCAGACCAGUGGUCUUUCCAUUCUAGAACUGUGUGGCUGACAGGGUCACAGGACACUUGAAGCCACUCUGUGAGGGUGGCUGGCCUUCCCGGGUAUAGAUGGACCAUCUUAAACCCCUAAUGUUCCCACCUCCCCCUGCCCCCCACCUUAAUAACCCAUCAUGGGACUAAAUAAUCUGAACAUAUAGAUAGCCCUUUCUGAGCCCUUCACCAUGGUUUGUAGUAAUCCACUAUGGGCCGCUUUAUCCCACCAAACCCUUAUUGAGUCUACAAAUAAUUUGUCUCCAGAACUUCUGAAGACAGGGAAUUCUGUAUGUUUAGGUUUUUAUAAUAAUACCCUGCCUUUGUGUGAUGUAUAUUUUCCCAAAGGGCUUUCAUAUAAAUGAUUGCAUUUAA